AAUGAACGUUGGCGGCGUGGAUUAGGCAUGCAAGUCGCGCGAGAAGUCUUUUUUCGGAAAGACGGAAAGCGGCGAAAGGGAGAGUAACGCGUGGGUCACCUACCCUGGGGUCCAGGAUAGCUGCGGGAAACUGCAGGUAAUACUGGAUAACAUCUCCGGAUCAAAGGUGCGAUUCCGCCCGAGGAUGGGCCCGCGUUCUAUUAGCUAGUUGGUAGGGUAAUGGCCUACCAAGGCGACGAUGGAUACCGGGUGUGAGAGCAUGACCCGGCUCACUGGGACUGAGACACUGCCCAGACACCUACGGGUGGCUG
Molecule: ribosomal RNA, 311 nt
Filed under: uncultured Planctomycetota bacterium
Lineage: Bacteria; Pseudomonadati; Planctomycetota
Description: bacterial SSU rRNA
Rfam family: Bacterial small subunit ribosomal RNA
Source: RNAcentral